Molecule: ribosomal RNA, 301 nt
Filed under: uncultured bacterium
Lineage: Bacteria
Description: partial 16S ribosomal RNA
Rfam family: Bacterial small subunit ribosomal RNA
Source: RNAcentral
CAGUAGCCGCGGUAAUACGGAUGGUGCAAGCGUUAUCCGGAUUCACUGGGUUUAAAGGGUGCGUAGGCGGGCAGGUAAGUCAGUGGUGAAAUCUUCGAGCUUAACUCGGAAACUGCCGUUGAUACUAUCUGUCUUGAAUAACGUUGAGGUGAGCGGAAUAUGUCAUGUAGCGGUGAAAUGCUUAGAUAUGACAUAGAACACCGAUUGCGAAGGCAGCUCACUAAACGCUCAUUGACGCUGAGGCACGAAAGCGUGGGGAUCAAACAGGAUUAGAUACCCGCGUAGUCCCUGUCUCUUAUAC